Molecule: ribosomal RNA, 444 nt
Filed under: uncultured bacterium
Lineage: Bacteria
Description: bacterial SSU rRNA
Rfam family: Bacterial small subunit ribosomal RNA
Source: RNAcentral
ACCAGACUCCUACGGGAGGCAGCAGUGGGGAAUAUUGCACAAUGGGGGAAACCCUGAUGCAGCGACGCCGCGUGAGUGAAGAAGUAUUUCGGUAUGUAAAGCUCUCUCAGCAGGGAAGAAAAUGACGGUACCUGAUUAAGAAGCCCCGGCUAACUACGUGCCAGCAGCCGCGGUAAUACGUAGGGGGCAAGCGUUAUCCGGAUUUAUUGGGUUUAAAGGGUGCGCAGGCGGAAUGUCAAGUCAGCGGUAAAAUUUCGGGGCUCACCCCCGUCGUGCCGUUGAAACUGGGUGCCUUGAGUGGGCGAGAAGUACGCGGAAUGCGUGGUGUAGCGGUGAAAUGCAUAGAUAUCACGCAGAACUCCGAUUGCGAAGGCAGCGUACCGGCGCCCAACUGACGCUGAAGCACGAAGGCGUGUGUAUCGAACAGGAUUAGAUACCCCUGUA